AGCAGUUUGCCACUUCAGUCUUUGCAUAGAGAUCGAUAUCCCAGAUUGACUCAGACCAAACUCUGAUCCCUCAUAUUUUUACUAUUUUUCAGAUGCUCACUAAUCAGUCGGUACGUAUUGAACAGCUUGAGGGAUGUAUUCUGAGAUUGAUAGGUAGAGUUUUGGAUUUACAGGGAUAUGUAUUAGCUUUAGCCCAUCCUCAGCCGCAUGAGGACAUCACAGAGG
This 225-nucleotide long non-coding RNA is filed under the name Elaeis guineensis (African oil palm). Its description in RNAcentral is "long non-coding RNA (EGUI_LNC057733)". The record is from RNAcentral. Lineage: Eukaryota; Viridiplantae; Streptophyta; Magnoliopsida; Arecales; Arecaceae.